This 351-nucleotide long non-coding RNA is filed under the name Setaria viridis. Its description in RNAcentral is "long non-coding RNA (SVIR_LNC000185)". Lineage: Eukaryota; Viridiplantae; Streptophyta; Magnoliopsida; Poales; Poaceae. The record is from RNAcentral.
CGAAGUUAAAACUUAGAUAUUACUCGAUAAACGGAACUUGCAGAAUCAGCCGGAGAUUGUGUCGAUGCAGUCCUGCCAACCUGUACGAACUCGUGAAAGAAAAAGACGUAUUGGCGAAGUCGCCGACUUGAAAGUAAAGUGCGAUGAAAAAGUAGAUUGUUUUGUAUUAUGUUCUUUACAAAUCUCUAAAGAUGGCUAUUUAUAGCCUGUUACAACUGAUUUCCUAACGGAUUAAGAUCUAUCUCUAAUUUUAAACGAAAACACAACACGUAUCGGAGUUGGUUACUAUGUUCCCACGGACCAAGCUUCCUCUAUCUUCUUUCUCUACCCUACUUUAAGCCCAUAUUGGCC